Molecule: long non-coding RNA, 388 nt
Filed under: Bos taurus (domestic cattle)
Lineage: Eukaryota; Metazoa; Chordata; Mammalia; Artiodactyla; Bovidae
Description: long non-coding RNA NONBTAT007473
Source: RNAcentral
UAAAACUACAACUGCCGGACACAAAUCAAGCUUUGAAAGGUAUCAGCUACAAUGCUAAGAUGUCCUGGUCUUACUAGUCCAAGAAAGUUUUCAUACCUGAGACCUAGUUCAACAAAAUUGAGAUGUGAGCAUCACCAGCAAUAGCUAUACAUCUUUAAUCUAAAGACUAGGCAUACAAGAAGCGUUUUACAUCCAUUCUCGUCUUAACAAGCUAACAAGGCCCCUUUCCAGAGGUCUUAAUCCUUGGCCUCUACACUGUAGACAACCCCUGGUAAUCUGAGUACUUGCUACCCACCCAUGCUACUUGGUAGGACACGGAGGAAGCGAUGGGCCUGCCCCUUACCGUCUUACUAAAGGAUGGCAGACAGCCUGAGAAGCAACCUCAUGG